UCCCUGAUGGUCCAAUGGUUAAGACUCUGCGCUUCCACUGCAGGGGGCACAGGUUCAAUCCCUGCUCAGGGAG
RNAcentral lists this transfer RNA (73 nucleotides) under Ovis aries (sheep). It matches the Rfam family "tRNA". Rfam says of the family: Transfer RNA (tRNA) molecules are approximately 80 nucleotides in length. Their secondary structure includes four short double-helical elements and three loops (D, anti-codon, and T loops). The record is from Rfam by way of RNAcentral. Lineage: Eukaryota; Metazoa; Chordata; Mammalia; Artiodactyla; Bovidae.